ACGUUUCGCGCCAAUUUCGGUUGGCCGGCCACAGUCCACCGCGCGGAGGUUCUCAGCUUCCCCAGGAGCAAGACCUCUGAGCCCGCCAAGCGCUGCCGCACGGCCCUCGGCAGCGAUGGCACUGAAGGACUACGCGCUAGAGAAGGAAAAGGUUAAGAAGUUCUUACAAGAGUUCUACCAGGAUGAUGAACUUGGGAAGAAGCAGUUCAAGUAUGGGAACCAGUUGGUUCGGCUGGCCCAUCGGGAACAGGUGGCUCUGUAUGUGGACCUGGACGACGUAGCCGAGGAUGACCCCGAGUUGGUGGACUCAAUUUGUGAGAAUGCCAGGCGCUACGCGAAGCUCUUUGCUGAUGCCGUACAAGAGCUGCUGCCUCAGUACAAGGAGAGGGAAGUGAGUGGUUAGAGAACAAUGGCAAACAAAGGGCGAGGCGUUUAAGCUUCUGUAGAGAGGCUGCUCAGAUACUGAUGUUUUCUGAGCAGGCAGAAAGGAGGGGCACUUCUGCCUGGUGUUCUCUGUGCUCUCCUUUCCCCAUCCUGUUGCUCAUUUUUUUUUUUUUUUUUUUUUUUUUUUUUUUUUUUUGUUCUUCUCCUUUAGGUGGUAAAUAAAGAUGUCCUGGACGUUUACAUUGAGCAUCGGCUAAUGAUGGAGCAGCGGAGUCGGGACCCUGGGAUGGUCCGAAGCCCCCAGAACCAGUACCCUGCUGAACUCAUGCGCAGAUUGUGAGUGGUCUCUGUCGGGAAAGAUGUAGGGAUUGGUUCUCCAGGAUCUUGUUUGUGACUGUUUUCUCCCCUUAGUGAGCUGUAUUUUCAAGGCCCUAGCAGCAACAAGCCUCGUGUGAUCCGGGAAGUGCGGGCUGACUCUGUGGGGAAGUUGGUAACUGUGCGUGGAAUCGUCACUCGUGUCUCUGAAGUCAAACCCAAGAUGGUGGUGGCCACUUACACUUGUGACCAGUGUGGGGCAGAGACCUACCAGCCGAUCCAGUCUCCCACUUUCAUGCCUCUGAUCAUGUGCCCAAGCCAGGAGUGCCAAACCAACCGCUCAGGAGGGCGGCUGUAUCUGCAGACACGGGGCUCCAGAUUCAUCAAAUUCCAGGAGAUGAAGAUUCAAGAACAUAGUGAUCAGGUGCCUGUGGGAAAUAUCCCUCGUAGUAUCACAGUGCUGGUAGAAGGAGAGAACACAAGGAUUGCCCAGCCUGGAGACCACGUCAGCGUCACUGGUAUCUUCUUGCCAAUCCUGCGCACUGGGUUCCGACAGGUGGUACAGGUAAGGAAGAGUUUGACAUGAGGAAUGGAUCAUCCCCUUUUCCCUCACCUACUCAUUCUACCCACACAGAGAAAAGAGCAGC
RNAcentral lists this small RNA (1346 nucleotides) under Pan troglodytes (chimpanzee). Its description in RNAcentral is "retained intron". The record is from RNAcentral. Lineage: Eukaryota; Metazoa; Chordata; Mammalia; Primates; Hominidae.